Cyprinodon variegatus (sheepshead minnow) is the source of this 585-nucleotide long non-coding RNA. RefSeq lists it as uncharacterized. Lineage: Eukaryota; Metazoa; Chordata; Actinopteri; Cyprinodontiformes; Cyprinodontidae. The record is from RefSeq and is a predicted model, not a curated record. The transcript has 3 exons.
UGAGUUCACAAGCGGAACAGCGCCAACUCCUCUGCUGCGCACAGUCUGGACACAACUCCCGCCACCUUUAAAAAACUGCAAGGUUUUAUUUUCUGCGCUCUGCUUUUUACAGUGUUCUUGUCCUCUUAGUCCCCGGCGGCGCGCUCUUCGGCUCGCCGGCUUUUUGCGCACGGACGCGUGUCCAAAUUCCGCCACUGGUCACCGCUGCGCUGCGCUGCGCUCCUUUCACUCAGCUUAGCUACUCCCGAGCAUUAGUUGCAUCUCAAAAAUAUUUAUCUCUCUUUUAUUUUGUUUCUUUUUUGUCGCUGGACUAAAGAGCUGUGAUAUUUUUUCUCAUGGGUAUUUAGUGUCGUGACACGCUUUCAGGAGUCGGCGCCUCCACAGAGAAAUGGAACUCUCUGCAUUUAUGGUUACAUGAAUGUCAGCGCUGAAGGCCAGAUGCCGGUGAUGGAAGAGCUUGUCAGUGAGAGUGACAGCAUGCCAAAGCGGAUGGCUCUCAUCUGCUUCCUGUCUCUGGUCAUGCUCAUGAGUGUCUUGGGAAACCUGCUGGUCAUGGUGGCCGUCUGCAAGGACAGACAACUCAGG